AUACGGAGGAUGCGAGCGUUAUCCGGAUUUAUUGGGUUUAAAGGGAGCGUAGAUGGGAGCUUAAGCCAGUUGUGAAAAGCGCGGGCCCAACCCGCGUCGUGCAAUUGGAACUGUGUUCCUUGAGUGGGUUCGGGGCAGGUGGAAUUCGUGGUGUAGCGGUGAAAUGCUUAGAUAUCACGAAGAACUCCGACAGCGUAGGCAUCCUGCCAGGCCCUUACUGACAUUGAAGCUCGAAGGUGCGGGUAUCAAACAGGGUUAGAUACCCUGGUAGUCCGCACGGUAAACGAUGGAUGCCCGCUGUCGGCGACAGACAGUCGGCGGCCAAGCGAAAGCGUUAAGCAUCCCACCUGGGGAGUACGCCGGCAACGGUGAAACUCAAAUGAAUUGACGGGG
This 393-nucleotide ribosomal RNA is filed under the name uncultured bacterium. Its description in RNAcentral is "partial 16S ribosomal RNA". It matches the Rfam family "Bacterial small subunit ribosomal RNA", at positions 523 to 918 of the family's 1533-position model. The record is from RNAcentral.